GACGAACGCUGGCGGCGUGCUUAACACAUGCAAGUCGAACGGAAAGGCCCUGCUUUUGUGGGGUGCUCGAGUGGCGAACGGGUGAGUAACACGUGAGUAACCUGCCCUUGACUUUGGGAUAACUUCAGGAAACUGGGGCUAAUACCGGAUAGGAGCUCCUGCUGCAUGGUGGGGGUUGGAAAGUUUCGGCGGUUGGGGAUGGACUCGCGGCUUAUCAGCUUGUUGGUGGGGUAGUGGCUUACCAAGGCUUUGACGGGUAGCCGGCCUGAGAGGGUGACCGGCCACAUGGGGACUGAGAGACGGCACUGACUCCUACGGGAGGCAGCAGUGGGGAAUAUUGCACAAGGGGCGGAAGCCUGAUGCAGCAACGCCGCGUGCGGGAUGACGGCCUUCGGGUUGUAAACCGCUUUCGCCUGUGACGAAGAGUGAGUGACGGUAAUGGGUAAAGAAGCACCGGCUAACUACG
This 466-nucleotide ribosomal RNA is filed under the name uncultured bacterium. RNAcentral's name for it is "partial 16S ribosomal RNA". It matches the Rfam family "Bacterial small subunit ribosomal RNA", at positions 28 to 505 of the family's 1533-position model. The record is from RNAcentral.